CCGAGUGCAACUAGGCGCAAUAGCGCACUUGCAUGGGGUGCAAGGGGUCGCAAGUUCAAAUCUUGUCACCCCGACCA
Molecule: transfer RNA, 77 nt
Filed under: Micavibrio aeruginosavorus
Lineage: Bacteria; Pseudomonadati; Bdellovibrionota; Bdellovibrionia; Bdellovibrionales; Pseudobdellovibrionaceae
Description: tRNA-Pro
Rfam family: tRNA (bases 14-66)
About the family: Transfer RNA (tRNA) molecules are approximately 80 nucleotides in length. Their secondary structure includes four short double-helical elements and three loops (D, anti-codon, and T loops). Further hydrogen bonds mediate the characteristic L-shaped molecular structure. tRNAs have two regions of fundamental functional importance: the anti-codon, which is responsible for specific mRNA codon recognition, and the 3' end, to which the tRNAs corresponding amino acid is attached (by aminoacyl-tRNA synthetases). tRNAs cope with the degeneracy of the genetic code in two manners: having more than one tRNA (with a specific anti-codon) for a particular amino acid; and 'wobble' base-pairing, i.e. permitting non-standard base-pairing at the 3rd anti-codon position.
Source: RNAcentral